This is a non-coding RNA of Acanthosepion pharaonis, 115 nucleotides long. Lineage: Eukaryota; Metazoa; Mollusca; Cephalopoda; Sepiida; Sepiidae. The record is from the annotation of a GenBank genome assembly.
CUUGCGGCCGUAUCAUGUUGAAACACUGGUUCUCGUACGAUCACCGAAGUUAAGUAACAACCAACCUGGUCAGUACCUAGAUGGGUGACCGCCUAGAAAUACCAGGUACUGUAAG